AACGAACGCUGGCGGCAUGCCUAACACAUGCAAGUCGAACGAUGCUUUCGGGCAUAGUGGCGCACGGGUGCGUAACGCGUGGGAAUCUGCCCUUGGGUUCGGAAUAACAGUGAGAAAUUGCUGCUAAUACCGGAUGAUGUCUUCGGACCAAAGAUUUAUCGCCCAGGGAUGAGCCCGCGUAGGAUUAGCUAGUUGGUGGGGUAAUGGCCUACCAAGGCGACGAUCCUUAGCUGGUCUGAGAGGAUGAUCAGCCACACUGGGACUGAGACACGGCCCAGACGCGAGGGGGGGAGAGCAGGGGAGAAUGUUAGACAACGGGCGCAGGACGGAGGCGGCGAGGGGGGAUGAGGGAUGACGGCUUGAGUGUUGUAAAGCUUUUUGCCCGGGGAUGAUACUGACGUUCGCGAGAGAAUACGCUCCUGCUACCUGCUGGCCGGAACGCGAGGUAAGAGGCGGAAAGCCGUCGCCCUGAC
This 473-nucleotide ribosomal RNA is filed under the name uncultured bacterium. RNAcentral's name for it is "partial 16S ribosomal RNA". It matches the Rfam family "Bacterial small subunit ribosomal RNA", at positions 32 to 542 of the family's 1533-position model. The record is from RNAcentral.